RNAcentral lists this ribosomal RNA (433 nucleotides) under uncultured bacterium. RNAcentral describes it as "partial 16S ribosomal RNA". It matches the Rfam family "Bacterial small subunit ribosomal RNA", at positions 29 to 507 of the family's 1533-position model. The record is from RNAcentral.
AACGAACGCUGGCGGCAUGCCUAACACAUGCAAGUCGAACGAGACCUUCGGGUCUAGUGGCGCACGGGUGCGUAACGCGUGGGAACCUGCCCUUAGGUUCGGAAUACCUCCCCGAAAGGGGUGCUAAUACCGGAUAAUGUCUUCGGACCAAAGAUUUAUCGCGUUUGGAUGGGCCCGCGUUGGAUUAGCUGGUUGGUAGGGGAAAAGCCUACCAAGGCGACGAUCCAUAGCUGGUAUGAGAGGAUGAUAAGCCACACUGGGGCUAAGACACGGCCCAGACUCCUACGGGAGGGAGCAGUGGGGAAUAUUGGAGGAUGGGGGAAGGCCUGAUCCAGCAAUGCCGGGUGAGUGAUGAAGGCCUUAGGGUUGUAAAGCUCUUUUACCCGGGAUGAUAAUGACAGUACCGGGAGAAUAAGCACCGGCUAACUCCGUG